RNAcentral lists this ribosomal RNA (482 nucleotides) under uncultured bacterium. RNAcentral describes it as "bacterial SSU rRNA". It matches the Rfam family "Bacterial small subunit ribosomal RNA", at positions 30 to 507 of the family's 1533-position model. The record is from RNAcentral.
AUUGAACGCUGGCGGCAUGCCUUACACAUGCAAGUCGAACGGUAACAGGUCUUCGGAUGCUGACGAGUGGCGAACGGGUGAGUAAUAUAUCGGAACGUGCCCAGUCGUGGGGGAUAACGCAGCGAAAGCUGCGCUAAUACCGCAUACGAUCUAUGGAUGAAAGCGGGGGAUCGCAAGACCUCGCGCGAUUGGAGCGGCCGAUAUCAGAUUAGGUAGUUGGUGGGGUAAAGGCCCACCAAGCCAACGAUCUGUAGCUGGUCUGAGAGGACGACCAGCCACACUGGAACUGAGACACGGUCCAGACUCCUACGGGAGGCAGCAGUGGGGAAUUUUGGACAAUGGGCGCAAGCCUGAUCCAGCAAUGCCGCGUGCAGGAUGAAGGCCUUCGGGUUGUAAACUGCUUUUGUACGGAACGAAAAGGCUCUGGUUAAUACCUGGGGCUCAUGACGGUACCGUAAGAAUAAGCACCGGCUAACUACGUG